This is an RNA transcript of Sphaeramia orbicularis (orbiculate cardinalfish), 2174 nucleotides long. It is a transcript of the gene named DnaJ (Hsp40) homolog, subfamily C, member 30b, with no coding region annotated. The record is from RefSeq and is a predicted model, not a curated record. The transcript has 3 exons. NCBI's taxonomy places the organism in Eukaryota, Metazoa, Chordata, Actinopteri, Kurtiformes, Apogonidae.
GGCGUCAUUACCGGUCGUUCACGGUGGGUAAAAUGGCAGAGGUCGGUCAGAGACUGGGCACCGGAGCCUACCGGCUGUCCGUGUUCAGGACCAGCCCGAGCUGCCCGGCCCGCACUAGAGGAAGUCCCGGAUCCCUGCGGGUCACCGUGAGCGACCCUGGGGAUGAUGAAGAGUCAAACCGGGAUCAACGUCAGGUUCAGCCAAUGCCUCAAGGGAAAGUCUCCACAAAACGAGUUUUGUGCUUCUUACCAGGACUCCAGCCUGAACUCCAGGAGAAGCUGGUGCCUGACAGGAUGGCAUCCUGGACCAGAGGAGCUGCGUCCACCCCCCAUGAGGUCUUCAGGGCCCACCAGCAGCUCAGAGCUUUCUGCACUGUUGUAUUUAUUCUGAGAUCAGAGAGGCCGGCUUGUAGACUGAGGUGCACAAAACCACAUGCUGAUGCUCAUUUUACCACAUCCAGAGGUUACAGCUGGAGUGGAGACGGUAAAACAAAAGACACUCUACUGCUGUACAGAAGCAGGACAGCCUAUUACGACAUCCUCAAAGUGUCCCCUAGUGCCACACAGUCUCAGAUCAAGAGUGCCUACUAUAAACAGUCCUUCAUCUACCACCCUGACAAGAAUGCAGGGAGUGAAGAGGCCAAGCAGAUGUUCGCAGAGAUCAGCGAGGCCUACACAGUUUUGGGCAACAUCACCCUGAGGAGGAAGUACGAUCGGGGCAUCUUGAGCCUGUCAGAUGUCCGAAGUGCAGGAAGACCAUCCUCCAAAGAAUCCACAAACAGAUCCACAGGCUCCCCACAGCAGCAGCAGCAGCAACAAAAGGGAGCCAGGCAGUUCUCUCACAGAGGAAAGGGGCCCAUGUUUGAUUUUGAUGCUUUUUAUCAGGCACACUAUGGGGAUCAGCUGCAGAGGGAACAGGAGAUGAGAGCCAGGAAGUGGCGCAUGGAACAGAUACAGAAGGAGAGGGAAAAGAUGAAGAAGGCUAGACUUAUUGACCUAACUGUGUACAUGUUGCUGACGUCAGCUGGCCUCAUUAUUUUCCACCUCAGCAUGACCUGAAAUAGUAACAGGGCUGGACAUUUCUUCUGAGGUUGCAUGUUACAACACUCAGGAGGAGGAAGAGUGGGUGCUAUCUCAAAUUAAAUCUAGUUUUGCACAGAUUCAGAAUAUGGAGGAUGAUUGUUUUAUUUGUGUUUCAGGCAAAAAACAAAAGGCAGGUUUAAUUAAUUCAGACAUUUAGGGGUGUUGGAUUUAAAAAUCAUUAAGAUUAAACAUAGAUGUAAAGAGUUACCAAGAACUGCACACCAAACUGUAAGUUAAAGAUGUUUUAAUUGUGAUUUAAAACAUUUAACUCAGAAUCUCAAAAUAUCUUAUUUGUUUUGUAAUACUGUGUAUAACAUAGUUUUAACAAACUGUGUUCUUGCUGGUUCCAAUCACAUCAAAAAUAUAAUGGUCUCAGGAGAAAUCCUUUAUCCUUUUUAGGGGUCAUGCAGAUGCAGUCUUUAUCCCAGUUCAUUUAAUUUAUUUACAGUCAUUUCUAUUAACAGAGGAGCUCCUAAGCCAAACUUAUUUUGGCAGCUGAAAAAGAUCUUGUCCAUUUAGAGAAACCGAGUACGCAGGGAUGGAAAAUGAUAUACCCAUCAAAACUACACGCACAAUCCCUCACCUUUUCCCUUCACACUGGCUCUGAAUUGUAUAAAAGUACUUUUAAGUGUUCUUAUAAAAUGGCCCAUAAACACACACACAUUUUGGCUUCUUCAUCUGUUAUCUACCCAUACACACAAUGAUUCAUUUUAUUUUAUAUGAAAAAAAAAAAGUUGAUUUUGCGUUUUAAAAACUGUGUAAGACUGGAUGUAACUAAACAAUAUGGUUUAAUUUACUUUUUAUUGUUUCUGCGUUUGAUGAAUGCAAAUAAGUUUUAACUGUGUUUCUUGAGGUAUUUCAGGUUUUAAACAUUUCAACCUCUGACCUCUAGAGGGCGCCUCAAUACAUUAAAAUCAUCUGCAUUACAGUUUUGACAUGCUCAGUGUUGUUUAACCUACAUAGGGGACAACACCGAGGGAUGGCACUAAGGCCUCAUUGAUUGUUUAGACACCAAUGAUGUGGUGCGUUUGUGCAUAUGUGUAAUAUGUAUGUAAUAAAUAUGUAUAAUUUCACAAAAAAUAUGUAGAAUUU